CCGUAAUAAAUAGGAGUGGCAUCACUUUUAUUUUAAAGCUCCGGCGCUUGAAGAUGGGUGUGCGGCUGAUUAGGUAGUUGGCGGGGUAACGGCCCACCAAGCCUACGAUCAGUAGCUUGUUGAAGACUACAUGCGAUAUGCUAGCUGACUGACGUACGUACGUACUGACUGGACGACAUCGUACGAUCUAGCUACUGAGGUUCAGUCCCGUAACGAGCGCAACCCCUGUGAUCAGUUGCCAGCGCGUCAUGGCGGGGACUCUGAUCAGACCGCCGGCGUCAAGCCGGAGGAAGGCGGGGAUGACGUCAAGUCCUCAUGGCCCUUAUGCCCGGGGCUGCACACGUGCUACAAUGGGGCAAACGCAGAGACGACACUGGAUCCGCGAUAUGACGGCGGCGCGCGCGCGAUUAGCGGACAAGAAUAUUAUAGGCGCAGACGACGCAGGCAGAUGCGCCGCGGCGCGAAUUGAUGAUAGCUGAGGACAGUUCCGCAAGGACACUCGUAGAGGUGCUGCAUGGCUGUCGUCAGCUCGUGUCGUGAGAUGUUGGGUUAAGUCCCGCAACGAGCGCAACCCUUGUCUGCUGUUGCCAUCAGGUUAUGCUGGGCACUCUGCAGAGACUGCCGGUGAUAAACCGGAGGAAGGUGGGGAUGACGUC
This 656-nucleotide ribosomal RNA is filed under the name uncultured bacterium. Its description in RNAcentral is "partial 16S ribosomal RNA". It matches the Rfam family "Bacterial small subunit ribosomal RNA", at positions 171 to 1186 of the family's 1533-position model. The record is from RNAcentral.